RNAcentral lists this ribosomal RNA (492 nucleotides) under uncultured bacterium. RNAcentral describes it as "partial 16S ribosomal RNA". It matches the Rfam family "Bacterial small subunit ribosomal RNA", at positions 29 to 507 of the family's 1533-position model. The record is from RNAcentral.
AGUGAACGCUGGCGGUAGGCCUAACACAUGCCAGUCGAACGGCAGCACAGUAAGAGCUUGCUCUUACGGGUGGCGAGUGGCGGACGGGUGAGGAAUACAUCGGAAUCUACUUUUUCGUGGGGGAUAACGUAGGGAAACUUACGCUAAUACCGCAUACGACCUACGGGUGAAAGCAGGGGAUCUUCGGACCUUGCGCGAUUGAAUGAGCCGAUGUCGGAUUAGCUAGUUGGCGUGGUAAAGGCCCACCAAGGCGACGAUCCGUAGCUGGUCUGAGAGGAUGAUCAGCCACACUGGAACUGAGACACGGUCCAGACUCCUACGGGAGGCAGCAGUGGGGAAUAUUGGACAAUGGGCGCAAGCCUGAUCCAGCCAUACCGCGUGGGUGAAGAAGGCCUUCGGGUUGUAAAGCCCUUUUGUUGGGAAAGAAAAGCAGCAGGUUAAUACCCCGCUGUUCUGACGGUACCCAAAGAAUAAGCACCGGCUAACUUCGUG